This 539-nucleotide ribosomal RNA is filed under the name Trichoderma cf. harzianum ROG-2010. RNAcentral's name for it is "eukaryotic LSU rRNA". The stretch from base 207 to 360 matches the Rfam family "5.8S ribosomal RNA". The record is from RNAcentral. Lineage: Eukaryota; Fungi; Ascomycota; Sordariomycetes; Hypocreales; Hypocreaceae.
AUUACCGAGUUUACAACUCCCAAACCCAAUGUGAACGUUACCAAACUGUUGCCUCGGCGGGAUCUCUGCCCCGGGUGCGUCGCAGCCCCGGACCAAGGCGCCCGCCGGAGGACCAACCAAAACUCUUAUUGUAUACCCCCUCGCGGGUUUUUUUUAUAAUCUGAGCCUUCUCGGCGCCUCUCGUAGGCGUUUCGAAAAUGAAUCAAAACUUUCAACAACGGAUCUCUUGGUUCUGGCAUCGAUGAAGAACGCAGCGAAAUGCGAUAAGUAAUGUGAAUUGCAGAAUUCAGUGAAUCAUCGAAUCUUUGAACGCACAUUGCGCCCGCCAGUAUUCUGGCGGGCAUGCCUGUCCGAGCGUCAUUUCAACCCUCGAACCCCUCCGGGGGGUCGGCGUUGGGGAUCGGCCCUCCCUUAGCGGGUGGCCGUCUCCGAAAUACAGUGGCGGUCUCGCCGCAGCCUCUCCUGCGCAGUAGUUUGCACACUCGCAUCGGGAGCGCGGCGCGUCCACAGCCGUUAAACACCCAACUUCUGAAAUGUUG